RNAcentral lists this ribosomal RNA (549 nucleotides) under uncultured bacterium. Its description in RNAcentral is "partial 16S ribosomal RNA". It matches the Rfam family "Bacterial small subunit ribosomal RNA", at positions 355 to 896 of the family's 1533-position model. The record is from RNAcentral.
UGGGGAAUUUUGGACAAUGGGCGCAAGCCUGAUCCAGCCAUGCCGCGUGCGGGAAGAAGGCCUUCGGGUUGUAAACCGCUUUUGUCAGGGAAGAAAUCCUCUGAGUUAAUACCUCGGGAGGAUGACGGUACCUGAAGAAUAAGCACCGGCUAACUACGUGCCAGCAGCCGCGGUAAUACGUAGGGUGCAAGCGUUAAUCGGAAUUACUGGGCGUAAAGCGUGCGCAGGCGGUUUUGUAAGACAGAGGUGAAAUCCCCGGGCUCAACCUGGGAACUGCCUUUGUGACUGCAAGGCUUGAGUGCGGCAGAGGGGGAUGGAAUUCCGCGUGUAGCAGUGAAAUGCGUAGAUAUGCGGAGGAACACCGAUGGCGAAGGCAAUCCCCUGGGCCUGCACUGACGCUCAUGCACGAAAGCGUGGGGAGCAAACAGGAUUAGAUACCCCUGGUAGUCCACGCCCUAAACGAUGUCAACUGGUUGUUGGGAAGGUUCCUUCUCAGUAACGUAGCUAACGCGUGAAGUUGACCGCCUGGGGAGUACGGCCGCAAGGUUG